Molecule: transfer RNA, 70 nt
Filed under: Trochus rota
Lineage: Eukaryota; Metazoa; Mollusca; Gastropoda; Trochida; Trochidae
Also listed under: 1 other name
Description: tRNA-Cys
Source: RNAcentral
CGUCCUGUAGUUGAAUUUUUAUGACAACGUUAAAUUGCAAAUUUAAGGGUAGAUUAUUGUCUCGGGAUGU